GACGAACGCUGGCGGCGUGCUUAAUACAUGCAAGUCGAACGGAAAGGCCCUGCUUUUGUGGGGUGCUCGAGUGGCGAACGGGUGAGUAACACGUGAGUAUCCUGCCCUUGUCUUUGGGAUAACUUCAGGAAACUGGGGCUCAUACCGGAUAGGAGCUACUGCUGCACGGUGGGGGUUGGAAAGUUUCGGCGGUUGGGGAUGGACUCGCGGCUUAUCAGCUUGUUGGUGGGGUAGUGGCUUACCAAGGUUUUGAAGGGUAGCCGGCCUGGGAGGGUGACCGGCCACAUUGGGACUGAGAUACGGCCCAGACUCCUACGUGAGGCAACAGUCGAGAAUAUUGCACAAUAGGCGGAAGCCAGAUGCGGCAACGCCGCGUGCGUGAUGACGGCCUUCGGGUUGUAAACCGCUUUCGCCUGUAACGAAGCGUGAUUGACGGUAAUGAGUAAAAAAGCACCGGCUAACUACGUG
This 468-nucleotide ribosomal RNA is filed under the name uncultured bacterium. Its description in RNAcentral is "partial 16S ribosomal RNA". It matches the Rfam family "Bacterial small subunit ribosomal RNA", at positions 28 to 507 of the family's 1533-position model. The record is from RNAcentral.